Molecule: RNA transcript, 3296 nt
Organism: Carya illinoinensis
Lineage: Eukaryota; Viridiplantae; Streptophyta; Magnoliopsida; Fagales; Juglandaceae
Gene name: protein ANTI-SILENCING 1-like
Exons: 14
Source: RefSeq, a predicted model, not a curated record
GCAGUAAUGACUUGAGAGCCUACAAGAUCGAACUUGAAUUUCAGAGACGCGGUAUUGAGAGAGAGGCCCGGGUAAAAUACUCUCCCUGUUGUACAGAGAAAAAGAAACCCCGGAACUCGCGCUGGCCGUCGCUAGGGUUUUCUUCAGGUUCAAUGAAAGUUGAAGAAGAAAUAUAGACAGCACAACUUUACUAGCACUCUUGCUCACUCUCCGAAACUGUAUUUUUAUCACUCUGCUUGGAAAGAGGCCUCAUAUGAGAGUAUGGUGGAAAUAGACGGAAUCGAGCACCUUGAAUUCGAGUGGGGUAAAAAGCAAGGAGUUGGAAAGAAAGGAGAAGGUGAAACACAGAAAGAAGUCCAGUUUUAUCAAUCUUUUACUUAUGACGGCAUGGAGUAUGAUCUGUAUGAUACAGUUUAUCUGCACAAUGAUGAUGGACCUGGACCUUAUAUUGGUAAGCUCAUAGAAAUAUGGGAGAAUCCCGACAAGACAAAGGAAGUGGUGGUUUUAUGGUUUUUCCGCCCUUACGAAAUUGAUCUUGAGGUUGAAGGCACAGCAAAAAAUGAGUUGUUUUUGGCUUCGGGAGAAGGUGUAGGCCUUGCAAAUGUUAAUCCUUUGGAAGCAAUUGCUGGAAAAUGUGAUAUUAUUUGUACUUCAAAAGACAGUAGAAAUCCACAACCUUCAGAUGAAGAACUUAAAACUGCUGACUUCAUAUUUUACCGUGCCUUUGACGUUAAGCAUGGUAGAGUUCUGGAUCAGAUAGAGGAAGAAGUUGCUGGGAUUGAGGUGAAAUUUAUAUUUAACAGAGUGGAGGCCCAGGAGCCCAAUGUUGUACUGGAACUUGAUUCAGCCAAGAAAGAAGUUUUCGGAAAUGCUGUAGCAAGUAAUAAAACAGAGUUUCCUCUCAAGAAAAACCCAUCUAAAGAGCACACAACUCAAAAAAGUAAUGUAAUUUCUAUUAAUAGUCUAUGGAAAGAAAAUGCUGAUACAAACACUUCAUUGGUUAAACAGAAAUCUUCACUUAGAGAGCAGCCUGCUUACAGGAUACGUGUGGAGUCAAAAAUUUCUAAAACUAAUGAUAGACAGGAGAACAUUUCCUUAGACAAGUCUGCAUUAAGGUCUGUAGAUUUUCCUAUCAAGGGUGAAGGUCGAGUUGUUAAGAAUCUUGUUAGAAAUGAGGAGAAAUUAAAAUCUUCUCAUGAUUGUAAUGAAUUGGAGGAUAGGCCAUCUGAGAAUGUAAUUUGUGUCAGAAUUGAGGAGAAAGUAAAAUCUAUUCACGACUGUGGUGAAUUGGAUGAUCGACCGUCUAAGAAGGCAAAGUUGGAUUGUUCUGUUAAAGUAUUUGGUGAUAAGAAAGAGAAGAGUGUGCGGAAGUUACCUGUUGAUUUGAGUCGUCAUGAUGCAAGGGGUGUAGGAACUGUAAUUGAUUUUGAGGAUAAAUCUAGGCUUAAACUUGUUAAGGAUUCUCGAGGGGUUGAAAAUGGCCCUUUGAAGAAGUUGAAGCUUGAUGAGAAGACAAAGCCUUUUGAUGGUAAGAAUUUUGUCAAAAGUGAGAAAGGAAAAUCUUCUCGGGAUUGUAGUGAGCUGGAGGAUAGGCCAUCUAAGAAGGCAAAGUUUGAUGGUCCUGUUAAAGUAUUGGGGAAUCAGAACGAGAAGAGAGGGCAAAAGAUAGCCGUUGACUCAGAUCUAAUAGAUGCAAAGGUGUUGCCAGUUGUAACUGCUUGUGAAUAUAAAUAUAGACUUAAACUUGCAAAGGAUUCUCAAGUGGAUGAAAAAGGCUCUUCCAAGAAGUUGAAGCCUGAUGAGAACACAAAACUUUCUAAUGGGAAGUUGCCUCGAGCAUCUCCCAGACAGUUUGCAGACGAAGACAAAAAAUUUGAUCACCAGAUAAUGGAAAUUACUCGAAGACCAGAUGCCGAUAAAAGCAAAUGGUUCAGGGCUAUUCCUUGGGAAGACAGAAUGAAAAGUGCUAAUGAGUUAGGAACACUGGUUCUCCUUCAAAAUUUGGAUCCAGCUUAUACAUCAGCAGAAGUGGAGGAUAUUGUUUGGCACGGCUUCAAGGAAAAUUGCAGAGCAAAGAUGAUUCAGCGGACUUCAAUUUCAAGUCCUCAUUGUGGUCAAGCUUUUGUUAUAUUCAAGACAAGGGAGGCAGCAGAGAUGGUUGUUAAAAAGUUGGACGAGGGCUGCCUUUGGAUAUCAAAUGGGAGGCCUCUUGUUGGAAGUACCGGAACUCCUUGCUUCCCUGAGAAGAAACCAACUUUUUUUGGCCAUUUUGCUAUUGAUAAACUUAGAUAUCAGAUGCCAAGGGAAAUGAGAGAGGCUGUAUCUACUUCACAUUGUUCUCAGCCUAACACAAUUGAAUAUGAUAUGGCCAUGGAAUGGUGCUUACUUCAAGAACGAUCAGACUUCUGUUGGAAACAGUUGUAUAAGCGACAAGGGGAGGAGUUGAAAAUACUCAAGUCCAGCCUCAAGUCCAAUUGAGAAUCAGUGGCUUUGGACUCUUCCUUUUCUUGGAGGCACCCUGAAACAAUGGAAUUUACUUUUGAGCCUUCAUGUAUACCAGAAGCUAUCAAAUUGAUCCCCCGUGUCUAUUUUGUGUCUAUUUGAAGAAGACGGAGUAUGUUAGCAGAGGUCUUGUUUGUGAGUAGUCAGGCAAGUUUUGAGAAUAGGCACUCUCUUCCAUCGCCUCUGUUAUUCAGGCUUCAGUACAUCCCCUUUCUCUCCCAACGAUCCCACACCACAAAGUUAGUUUCAUGCCCGUGACCAACACAGUUCCAGCUCCGACGACGACGAUGAUGACAUUCAUAGGUAUUUCCUCCGUUCCUCAAAACCAGUGUAUACUUGGAUGUUUGGUAUUAAGGCCUCUUCCUGGGAUGAUUUGCAGUAAUGCAUGGGAUUGCUUUGCAAAACUGGGACUAGUGGUUUCGUGUGGCAUUUUACCAUGAGCAAACCAACAUGGGUUUAUGUGGCAUCUACCUUUAAGCAAAAAGAUGCACAUACUGUUGCUGUUUGAAGGAUCUCCAUGGAGUUUGUAAAAAUCCAAUUGUUCCAUUGUCUCUGCAUCUUUCCUAGCAAUCUUAAUCACCAUACCAUAAACAAAAAUAGGAAAAAAAAUGAAACAAGCAAUCCAUGGGGAGCAUCCAAAAUCAAAUGACUCUACCUUCAACCAAGAUCCAAAUUAGAAGAUCCCAAUCUUUUAAAUCCCAGAUAAGCAUACUCUGCUCUACCAAUUUCAAAAAAAUCGAAAUUUCUUGAAUAGCAUGAAUAUGAGCAUAGACCAAAAUCACAAAGAACCCAUG